This 868-nucleotide long non-coding RNA is filed under the name Homo sapiens (human). RNAcentral describes it as "non-protein coding LINC01016:7". The record is from RNAcentral. Lineage: Eukaryota; Metazoa; Chordata; Mammalia; Primates; Hominidae.
UGCCAACCCCGAGGGGGGAAGACUGUGCUCUGAGGUCCUCGGGGAUGGUUGUUGCGGGCCUCGGCCUCCCUAGAUUCCUUCCCAUCUCCCCAACAGCAAUCCUCCCAGGGCCAUGGGCCAGGAACCCCUGGUGGUUCUGUAUUCUGAGGUUCUGCAGACGCAGGGUGUAGUCUCCUGCGAGUCCAUCUUGAUUUGGAAGGCUGCGGGAGGAGGUGGCCGAGACCCCUUCCCUAGACCGCGAGGCAGGACGGAGGCAGCCGUUAGGAACGGCCCCACUCCACCAGCCGGCCCCGCGGGACGGUUACUCUGUUCCUGAGGUACCCCCCGAGAUUGUCUGUGGGGUCAGAAACAGCUCUGGAGGGGUCUGCAGAAAUUACUUUCCCAAGUCUUUGGGCUGGAAGGAACGAACAGUGCCUGACCAAGGACUUUGAGCAGGAGAGAGAUGGGAGCAGAGAGGAGCCAAGACCGUCUUGGACUACCAGCCUGUCCGCCACCCCUCGGGGCCCUCCCUCCUACUCUGCCCUUGCCCGCUGAGGUCCCAAGCUGAGGAGAUGAGCCGAGCAGUAAAAAGAGAGGAGGUUUGGAAAAGCAAUGUCCUCUCAGUCUUUAAUAGGUGGCCCCCCUGGGAACCUGCUGGAAGUGGAAGUUAAUAAGCUGAAGGUGGUCACAACCAAUCUCUGCCACACUCGCACCCUACCCCACCCCAAAUCAUUCCUUUUAAUUAAUAGUGGAAGACCUUUUUAAAAAUGUAACAUGAAUUGGCUAUUUCUUGAGGCAAACAAAAGGUGGCUCUGAAGCGAUAUAUUUGUACUCGUAUAAAUUCAUUAAAAUAGAAAGCUUAUAACCAUCCAGGUUUCACUGACAGCCC